GAAAGGUAGUCUUUCUGGAAAUGGGAAGAGAAUCUGGGCCUUGGGGUAGAUGGGAAGAAGGGUACAGGAAGGGAAAGCAAAAAGAAAAAAAAGCAUUGUGAUGAGUUUAUGUGAUGGAUUCCGUUCACUGAUUUAGGCCUGGUGACCUGUUGCAUCUUUACAAGCAGAAAGUACGUGGUGCCUGAGACCUCUCUGCUCAUCUCCUCCUGACAUGGAGUCCAGAUUGCCCACCAAGAACCGUGAUCCACCCAGCCUCCAUCGACAGGUGCCUUCAGGUUCAACAAUAUAAUCUUCCCGGGCAAACUGGACAUUAGAAGACAUAAACCAAAAGAAAAUUGAGAUGAGUUUGACCAGGGAAAUUGCUGUCUUGGGUGUCUGCCAUAGCCUUGAAGAAACCUGCUCACAAAUCAUGGCUGAUGUCUCUGCCUGGAUCUCAGAAUGAAAAUGAGCUCAGUGAAGUGAGCAACUUUCCUUUGCUGCUAUGAUUCAGAUCAAGAAUUUCUACAGAGGUCUCAUGCAUUCACAGAUAGAGUUCCAGAGAGUGACCGAAUCACAAGGGGACAUAGCUCAAUCGCUAUUGGGAGCCCAACUACAACAGUGACCUUCGGUUUAGGAAAUGGGAGGGAUGGGAUCAGCUGUGACGGGAGCAAAAACAGAAGAAUGCAUGCCCACUGUGAAGGCCUUAGAGAGAUCUGGAGAAUGGAACACAUGACCCACAUGCCAGGUGGAGCUGAAAACAUUAAUGAAGCCAUUAAAUAAUAUCACCUUGCCAACAUAGUACAUCAGUUCUACUGAAGUCACCUUCCACUAAAGUGCACCUGCAGCUUACCUUGUGUGAGCAUGGACACUGGUGGUCAGUAUUCUGGUUUGUUGAUGGACAACAUAUUCCCUAGGUUAUGAAAUCUAUUAAUUAUAUGCAUAAAUUCCAAGAGAAAUGUAUUUUACAUAGAUUAAAACAUCUGUUUGAAUAAUCUAUAUUUUCAAUUGGAAAUACGAAGGAGCAGUUCUUUUUCCUGACAUGGAAAUUUACCGACCAUAACCUUAGACAUGUGCUAUGCUAUUUAAACAACCCCUGCAAGAAGACAAAUUCUUUAUAGUCUUGUGUCUUUUUCUU
This is a long non-coding RNA of Cavia porcellus (domestic guinea pig), 1114 nucleotides long. RefSeq lists it as uncharacterized. Lineage: Eukaryota; Metazoa; Chordata; Mammalia; Rodentia; Caviidae. The transcript is spliced from 6 exons. The record is from RefSeq and is a predicted model, not a curated record.